Thauera sp. 27 is the source of this 286-nucleotide small RNA. It matches the Rfam family "5' ureB small RNA". NCBI's taxonomy places the organism in Bacteria, Pseudomonadati, Pseudomonadota, Betaproteobacteria, Rhodocyclales, Zoogloeaceae. The record is from Rfam.
UCCUCGAUCUGCUGCGGGCAGAUCCAGUGGAUGUGGCUGUCGAUACCGCCGGCGGUCAGGAUCAUGCCCUCGCCGGCGAUGACCUCGGUACCGGCACCGAUGGGGAUCGUCACCCCGGGCUGGAUGUCCGGAUUGCCGCCCUUGCCGAUCCGCCAGAUACGUCCGUCCUUGAGGGCGACGUCGGCCUUCACGAUGCCGGCGACCGCAUCGACGAUGAGCGCGUUGGUGAUGAUCGUGUCCGCCACGUCGGCCGAGACGCCCUGGCCCUGGCCCAUGCCGUCGCGGA